Molecule: long non-coding RNA, 502 nt
Filed under: Monodelphis domestica (gray short-tailed opossum)
Lineage: Eukaryota; Metazoa; Chordata; Mammalia; Didelphimorphia; Didelphidae
Description: lncRNA (ENSMODG00000035067.2)
Source: RNAcentral
CAAUAAUCCUUGAAAGAUGCUGGGGAAUGGGAGAAAUAGAGAGAAGGUAGCUUGAAACCAUUCAGGCCAGUGGGCUUGAUUUCCAUUCAGUACCAGAAUACAGAACUUGUCUAUAAAAUCGUGCAUCUACUGAGCAUUUCCCAGGGAAAUAGUGAUUACCGAUACCAAUGGAUCCCAUCAGAUUGGGAAGUUACUUAAGACACAGAGAGUUCAAGGCAUACCAUUACUCAGUAUCUGAGGCACAAUUUUCAUAAUCUCCCUAUUUUCAAGGUCUCCUGAAUUCCACAUCCAGCUCUCUGCCCACCAGUUGAGAAAAAAAGAAAGGAAGAAAGAAGAAAAAGAAAAAGGAAGGCAAGAAAGAAAAAAGAAUGAAAGAAGGAAGGGAAGAAAGAAACAAAGAAAAAAGGAAGGAAAGAAAAGGAAGGAAGGUCUGUCUGAAAUCUGAAUAGUUCACUGGCAAUUUAAGAGGCCAGAAAGGAAAUAAACUUGCCUCUAGGGCUCA